Molecule: long non-coding RNA, 276 nt
Filed under: Elaeis guineensis (African oil palm)
Lineage: Eukaryota; Viridiplantae; Streptophyta; Magnoliopsida; Arecales; Arecaceae
Description: long non-coding RNA (EGUI_LNC029103)
Source: RNAcentral
UCCCGCAAGAUUUAGACAUAUAACCUCCAAAAUAGAGAGAGCGCAGGUGCUACGCAAUGGCCUAAUGUGCCAAGAUCAUCACAUCAAAACACAUAUCUAUCUUAAAAUUGAUUUGGUCGACUUCAAAAUUAUUGGCUAGCCAUCCUCCAAUUCCUAUGGAUAUAGUUUAUAGAAAGCAAAAGGAAUAACAGCGCUUUGUUGAUACCGUCCAGAGGGCCAGGAAGAACCAAACCACAUAUCAUCCAAAUAUAUGGUCCUUCUCAAGCAUUUGUAAGC